This 5200-nucleotide long non-coding RNA is filed under the name Sorghum bicolor (sorghum). Its description in RNAcentral is "long non-coding RNA (SBIC_LNC011763)". The record is from RNAcentral. Lineage: Eukaryota; Viridiplantae; Streptophyta; Magnoliopsida; Poales; Poaceae.
UUGAACCCAGAGUCUGUAAUCGUGUCAGUCAUUUAGGUGUGCAUUAGGUGUUACAUUUUUAUGUUCAGCAUGUUUGUAAUUAGCGUAGAAUCCUGGGUGUGUGGCGAUUGCACACGCACUCGCCAGGACCGCGUCUUCAGGGCCAUCUCCGCCAUGGCUGGCACGCCGUGCAUGUCGCACGGGCACCGAAAAUGACGGCGCACCGUGCAGCGCCCAACCGUGGCGGAGGGAGGCGAUCCAGGCCUACAAGGCCGAGUUGAAUGCACAAACAAAGCUGCGCGUUCGCAGUAAACUGAAACGGUGCUCUCUCUCUCGUGUAUCGCUCGCUCGCCGCCGUAGUAGUUUUAGUUGACGCGGUCACCACUCGCCGGUGUUCCGCCUCGCCGGGCUCCUCGCCGGAGCUGCGGUCCCAACAUUCUGGUACCAGAGCGUGGUUUAUGCAAUACGACGGCAGCGUAAGCCCACCGAGAGAGCCACCGCACAAGAAGUUCGUCGUUCUCAAGAAAUCGCCACCACCGAUCGCCAUGGGCGACCAAGGAAGCUCCUCCGGCGGCGUCAAGGAAAGUUCCUUGAUGUGGCCCAUGCUGACGCGUGACAACUACACCGAGUGGGAGAUGCUGAUGCAAUGCAACUACGAGGCGUUGGAGAUCUGGGGGGUGAUCGACCCAGGUACCAACCCCAAACGGUCGCAGGAUCGUCAAGCCAUGAGCGCACUCCUGCGUUCUGUUCCCAAGGAGAUCUGGCAAACGCUCGGCCGGCAGAAGACCGUCAAGGAGGCGUGGGAGGCGGUGAGGACAAUGCGAGUCGGUGCCGAUCGGGUGAAGGAGGUGAACGCCCAGAAGCUGUUGCAGGAAUUCGAGAACAUCGCCUUCAAGGAGGGCGAGUCGAUCGACGACUUCGGUAUGCGGAUCACCAACCUCGUCGGCAACCUCAAGACGCUGGGCGAGACGAUCGAAGACGUGCGCGUGGUGAAGAAGUUUCUCCGUGUGGUGCCCGCGAGAUUCGCUCAAGUGGUAGUCUCAAUUGAGAUGUUUUGUGAUUUGAAGAAUCUCACCAUUGAGGAUCUCAUCGGACGACUGCGCGCGGCGGAGGAGCGCCUGGACGACAAGACCGACAAGGUCACCGACAAGAUGGGGCGCCUUCUGCUCGCUGAGGAGGACUGGAUCGAGAAGAACAAGCAUCGCUUCCUCACGGGGUCUAAGCCCGGAGGGGGCGGCGCGGGUGGCAGUACCUCUAAGAACAAGGCGGCGCGCGCGAUCUGAUGGCGGCGCCUCGAAGCCGGUCAAGUUGACCUCCGAGGGCACGCCACGUCGCAAAGGUCGGUGCCGGAACUGUGGCAUCUAUGGCCACUGGGACCAAGACUGCAAGCGCCCGAGAAAAGACAAGAAAAAGGAGCAGGCUCCGCCGGAGGCCAACGUCGCUGUCGGCGGCGGUGAUCAGGUGGGUGCACUAAUGUUGGCCAUGUGCGACGUCGUGCACAGGUCAUCACAGUGUGUUCACCUGAUGGAGGAGAAGGUUGUACCGGUGGACGUCCCUACUGGUGUCUGGGUGCUCGACACUGGGGCGAGCAACCACAUGACAGGAUCGCUGUCAGCACUGUCACAGCUUGACAGCAGCGUUCAAGGGACAGUCAAGUUUGGAGAUGGCUCCACCAUCAGAAUCAAAGGUAUGGGUUCAGUAAUUAUGCAAGAUCGAAAUCAGAAUCACAAAGUUCUUACUGAAGUAUACUACAUACCUGAAUUGAAAAGCAACAUUGUUAGCUUGGGCCAGUUGGAAGAAAAAGGGUUCAGAUAUGUGGGAGAAAAUGGGAAACUAUGUGUUUAUGAUCAGGAUCGUACCUUGUUAAUCUCUGCACCUAGAAUUGAAAAUAGACUGUAUCUGGCUAAGUUCAGUUUGACACCUCCAGUUUGUCUGCUUGCACAGUCUGAAAAUUUGUCUUGGCUUUGGCAUGCCCGUUUUGGACACCUGAACUUUAGAUCAUUAAACAUGUUGGGUGCUAAGUCAAUGGUUGUUGGGAUGCCAUGUGUCAAGGAGGUGGAGAAGGUAUGUGAUGGAUGUGUCCUAGGUAAACAGCAUAGAAAGCCAUUCCCACAAGUGUCAAACUUCAGAGCAGGAAAAGGGCUAGAAUUAGUUCAUGCAAACCUAUGUGGGAAAAUAACACCAGAGAGCAUUGGGGGAGCCUCCUAUUUUCUGUUGGUGGUGGAUGACCACAGCAGAUAUAUGUGGAUUGAAAUGCUUAAGUCCAAGGACCAAGCCUUUGAGUGUUUCAAGAAGAUCAUGCUAAGAGCUGAGAGUGAGUCUGGUGAAAAAUUAAAAGCCCUGAGAACAGACAGAGGUGGUGAAUUCACCUCAAACAUGUUCUCAGUUUUCUGCAACAAUGGUGGAAUCAAGCAUUACACCACAGCCCCAUAUACACCACAGCAAAAUGGUGUUGUGGAAAGGAGAAAUCAAUCAGUGGUGGAAAUGGCAAGGUGUCUGUUGAAAGCCAUGAGGGUUCCAUCAGUGUUUUGGGGUGAAGCUGUCAGAACAGCUGUAUAUUUGCUAAAUAGGUGUCCUACUAAGGCCCUAAGUGGAAAAACACCUUUUGAAGUUUGGCAUGGAAAGAAACCAGUAGUGAGUCACUUGAAAGUAUUUGGUUGUGUUGCAAAUGUAAAGAAAGUUGGACCUGGUGUAAAUAAGCUAUCUGAUAGAUCUAGCAAGAUGGUCAUGAUAGGCUAUGAAUCAGGUACUAAAGGGUACAGAUUAUUUGAUCCUUCCUCCAACAGGUUGGUGGUGAGCAGGGAUGUCUUAUUUGAAGAAAAUGUACCCUGGGACUGGAAUAAUCCACAAUGCAGCACAGAUCAGCAAGUGACAGAUUCAUUUGUUGUUCACUACGAGUUGUCUGACCAAAAUCUGACAACAGGCCAAAAUGCAGAAAAUGCUGGUACUCCAGUUACAGCUCAAGGGGGUGAGGCACCAGCAGAUCAAGGGAGUAACGUGAGCCACAAUCACUCACCUAACUCCCCAAAUGCUCCAGGAUCCAAUGCAGCACCAACUAUGCAGUAUGCAACUCCACCAAGCCAACAUUCAGAAGAUGUUUUUCCACUUAGGGCCUUAGUAGGACACCUAUUUAGCAAAUAUACAGCUGUUCUGACAGCUUCACCCCAAAACACUGAUGGAACCCUCAUGGCUUUCAACAGACACCUUGCCAUUUCCACCACUGAUUGAUUUCUCCUUUCCACAACACCAUUUUGCUGACACCUAUGGUGGACCACUCAGAUUCAGAAGACUCGAUGAUAUUUUCGACAAUACAGAAGAGUUGGAGGAAUAUGAGUAUAGUGGAGUAUGCUUACUGGCAGCAGAUGAGCCAGUCAGUGUGGAUGAAGCAUUGGAAGAAAAAUGCUGGGUUGAAGCAAUGAACAGUGAAUUGAGGUCCAUAGAAGAAAACAACACUUGGUGCUAUACUAAUCUGCCAAAGGGUCACAGAGCCAUAGGUUUGAAAUGGGUUUACAAGGUGAAAAGGGAUCCAGAGGGUAAUAUAGUCAAGCACAAAGCUAGACUUGUUGCAAAAGGCUAUGCUCAAAAAUAUGGAGUGGAUUAUGAGGAGGUUUUUGCUCCUGUAGCUAGGCUUGAAACUGUCAGACUCAUGUUGGCACUUGCUGCAAGUGGAAGAUGGGAGGUGCAUCACAUGGAUGUGAAGUCUGCUUUUCUUAAUGGUGAGCUACAGGAAGAGGUAUAUGUACAACAGCCUCCUGGUUUUCAGAAUUCCAAGCAGCCUGGAAAAGUUUUGAAACUGUCAAAGGCACUUUAUGGCCUGAAACAAGCACCCAGGGCUUGGAAUGCCAAGCUGGAUCAAGAACUUGUCAAGCUGGGGUUUUGCAGAAGCAGUGAAGAACAUGCAGUCUACAAAAGAGGAAGUGGGAUUAACUUGCUGCUUCUAGGAGUGUAUGUUGAUGAUCUAGUCAUCUGUGGGCCUGACCAGAAUAGAAUUCAUGAAUUCAAGCAACAAAUGAGCAAGACUUUCAGCAUGAGUGACUUGGGACUGCUGAGCUAUUAUCUGGGAAUGGAGGUGAGGCAGAAGCCUGGUGAAAUAACCAUUUGUCAAAGAGCAUAUGCAGCAAAAAUAGUAGAGCAGUGUGGAAUGACUGGUUGCAAUCCUGUGGAUACUCCCAUGGAGCAAAAUUGCAAGUUAAUACCUGGGAGGCCUGAACUAGCCAGAGAUGUGACAAAGUUCAGAAGCAUUGUGGGAAGUUUGAGGUACUUAGUGAACACUAGACCUGACAUUGCCUACUCUGUUGCAAUGGUCAGUAGGUUCAUGGAGUCACCUACCUCUGAACAUUGGGCAGCUCUGAAAAGGAUUGUCAGGUAUGUUGCAGGGACUACUCAGUAUGGCUGCAAGUAUACUUGCAAAUCACUGUUGAACCUGAAACUGCUGGGGUACUCAGACAGUGACCAUGCUGGUGAUUUAGAGAAGAGGAAGAGCACAUCAGGUGUAGUAUUUUUCUUGAAUGGAAAUGUGAUAACCUGGACCUCACAGAAACAAAGGCCAGUGACAUUGUCGAGUUGUGAGGCAGAGUAUGUUGCUGCAGCUGCAGCAGCCUGUCAGGGUGUUUGGCUGGUCAGACUCAUUGCAGAUCUCACUGGUCAGAAUCUUCAGAAGUUCAAGCUUCUCAUGGACAGCAAAUCUGCGAUUGAGCUGAGCAAGAAUCCAGUGUAUCAUGAAAGGAGCAAACACAUUGACACACGCUACCACUUCAUCAGAGAGUGUGUCGCUGAUGGGAUUGCAGAGGUGGACCAUGUUGGCACCGACAGACAGCUUGCAGAUAUCUUAACGAAGCCUUUGGGAAGGAUCAAAUUCGUUGAAAUGCGUCAGCAGCUGGGAGUUGGGAACAUGUGUCACGAUUAAGGGGGUGAAAUGUUGAACCCAGAGUCUGUAAUCGUGUCAGUCAUUUAGGUGUGCAUUAGGUGUUACAUUUUUAUGUUCAGCAUGUUUGUAAUUAGCGUAGAAUCCUGGGUGUGUGGCGAUUGCACACGCACUCGCCAGGACCGCGUCUUCAGGGCCAUCUCCGCCAUGGCUGGCACGCCGUGCAUGUCGCACGGGCACCGAAAAUGACGGCGCACCGUGCAGCGCCCAACCGUGGCGGAGGGAGGCGAUCCAGGCCUACAAGGCCGAGUUGAAUGCACAAACAAAGCUGCGCGUUCGCAGUAAACUGAAACGGUG